UGCAAUUUAGUUUAGUUUUUCUUUGGAUUUCGGCGUUAAUGUUUGUAUAACGGUGCUGAAUAUUUUACCGAUAGCGCGCACAACUUUGCGUUAGUUUACUAUAUGUACAUAUAAUAUAUAAGUCUGUUACUUAUAAUACAUAUGUAUAUGAAAGCAUAAAGCCAGCGGAAUUGCCGCAGUUCAAAGUUGAAGGUGGAAAUAACUUUGCGGUGGAGUUUAAAGCUGAAUUCGAUAUUACUGCACGAAUACGCUUGAGCAGCUGUACCGCAAUCGUGUUCGUUUGUUAUUGUUAAGUUGUGUGAAGAAAGAAGAAUUAAAAUUUAAAUAAUUGUGAUGUUAUUUUUGCACAAAAUGUGAAGUAUUACAAAAUAAAAUUUUAAUCUGCCAAGGAAUCGAAAAAUUUUGAAUGAUUUCGAGAGAUAUCAUCAAAAAGUGGUAAAAGUUAUAGAGAAUUUGUGAGCAAAUAUGUAGCCUGAAAAUUUGAAAAUGAAAUAACAAAAGCUACUCACAGCAAGAUGUGGUACUAAUUGUCAUAAUCUAUUCGUCUAUUAAUUUCUGAUGAUUCCAAAAAGAAAAACUAAAAUAUACAAGCCAAGCGAACGUCACAGCUGUUUUAGCAUACAUUACUCUCAGUGGAUGUAAAUAAAUGUACAUAAAUGUUAUAAUUGCCGCAAUAAUAAAAUUAAGGCGCCAAAUAUCGUGAAAACAUUGUGACAUCGGCAAACGCGUAACGUGACAAACUCUGAAACGGUCCAAGUAAAACUGCCUGCGACGCGAACAACAAAACCGGCGAACAUGAUUGCCUUUGCACAGCAUAGAAUGCGAACGAUGCAUGCUAAAGCGGCAAGAACGAUUCAACAAAUAUAGUACCGCAGCCAACGUGUUUAAUGAAAAUGAAACGGGAAAGUAAAAUAAAAAAAUUUUUGUUGUUGAUUACCGCAAUUUGUAUUAACAGCUUCUGGUAGUGCCGUGGCGAUGGCGGAGAUGCUAGUGGUAGUUUUCUGCCGCUUGCUUAUGGCACGCAUAAGACCGUCACUGCUGAUGAUGCCAUCGCACACACGUUCACCAUCGAAAUGCGUGGCCAAAACCACUAUCACGAUGGUGGUGAAGGGGGUGGGGGAGACAGUAGUGGCAGUUUGGAAAAUAUGGAUUUGAAGAAUAUGGAUAUGCAUGCCUUUGAUCAUGAUGCUGGCAUUAGUGGUGUACCAGUGUACCAGAGGAGUCGGAGGAGCGCGAUCAUAUAGCGCAUCAUUUUGAUCACGCGUGACUCGUGUCAAGUUGUCAAGCUAAUUUUGUUUAGUAUAUUUGGCAUUUGGAAAGACCUACGAACAAUGUUUACGUUCGUUCAACUUUAUUAUAAAAAUUCAUGUUCUGCAAGGAACUUUUUCGGCGAACCUCGAUCAACGUAUGGUCAAUGUAAUCGGCCUUCUGAUCGUACUAUUCGCAACAUCAUCACCUAUCUUGAGACCCACCACAUAUUAUUGGAUAACAUUUGACCGAAUAGACAAAGUCCAGCACGCAGUGAAGAAAACAGAGCAGAUGUAGCUGAGAAUGUACAUGAAGAUCAUGGAGAGUCGAUCCGACACCGUUCGCAGCAACUCGGACUGACAUAUGGAACGACUUGGCGCAUUUUACGUCGAGAACUUAAAUUAAAAUUAUACAAAACACAGCUUCUGCAAGAACUGAAGCCGCUGGACCAUCCUAAACGACAUCGUUUCGCUCUUGAAAAGUUCUAAGAAGAUCCGACAAUUUCAAAACAAAUUUUCUUUGGCGCUAAGGCCCAUUUCUGGCUCAAUGGGUACGUAAACAAGCAAACUUGUCGCAUUUGGGACAAAGAGCAACUUGAAGAGAUUCCAUUCAUCCAAAAAAAAAAAACGGUUUGGUGUGGUUUGUAGGCCGCUGGAAUCAUCGAUUCAUAUUUCUUCAAACAUGAUGCCGUUAAGAUAGUAACCGUAAAUGGCGACCGUUGUCACGCCAAUAUAAUCGACUAUUUGAUAACUGAUAUUGAAGCUCCUGAUCUCGGCGAGAUUUGUUUCAACAAGGCGGCGCCACUUCCCACACAUCGCAUAUUGAGAGAAUAAUUCGAUGAGCAGAUAAUUUAACGUUUUGGGCUAUUCGAUUGGCCAACAAGAUCGGGUGAUAUUACACCAUUGGGUUUUUUUCUGUGGAGAUGUGUAAAGUCCAAAGUCUAUGAGGACAAUGCCGCUUCAUUUCAAGCUUUGGAGGAAAACAUCACGCAUGUAAUUUGCCAGUUACCAGUCAAGAUGCUCGAAUGGGAAAUCAAAAAAUUAAUUCAACCGAUGGACCAGUAGCAACAGCCAACUUUUAAAAGAGAGUAUCUUCAAAAACUAAAUGUCCCUUGGAUGGUAACAAACAUUCUUAAUUAAAUUUGUAGUUUCUGUAUUUUUUUUUUAAGUAGGAAACCUCAAAAUGGAUGACCCUUUAUAGCCCAUAAGUAAAAUUACAAAAUAUUUAAGUAUUAAAAACAAGUCUGAUUUUUACGCUGUUUGAAUUUAUACCCUAAUUAGUAUUUAGAAAUCAUCAUUAAUUUUGUAUGAUUAUAUUCGCAGUUUAAAAUUAACAAGUUAAGCCACUUAAAUGAGUUAAUGUAUUUACCUAAAAUAUAAGUUUAACAUUUUAUCUAUGUAUGUACUUAACGCAGUCGCACACCGGCAGAGUAGAUAUUUAUUAUUCAUGCCUGAAUUGCUUCUAAACGAUUAUAAUCUAAUAUGAGUACACAAAUGAAUACAUUUAUCGUGUAAAUAAACAUAUUAUUGUGUUCGUAAUUUCCCAAGUUUAAAUUAUUUUUGCGAAUGUUUCUGUUUUUGCACUAAAAACAAGCUUCCAAUGUUAAAAACUCUUAACUUUCAAUUUAAACAAGUGAAACAAGUAUUUCGAAAGAUACUCCACCUUUCA
Long non-coding RNA from Bactrocera neohumeralis, 2916 nucleotides. RefSeq lists it as uncharacterized. The transcript has 3 exons. Lineage: Eukaryota; Metazoa; Arthropoda; Insecta; Diptera; Tephritidae. The record is from RefSeq and is a predicted model, not a curated record.